This 497-nucleotide ribosomal RNA is filed under the name uncultured bacterium. Its description in RNAcentral is "partial 16S ribosomal RNA". It matches the Rfam family "Bacterial small subunit ribosomal RNA", at positions 28 to 507 of the family's 1533-position model. The record is from RNAcentral.
GAUGAACGCUGGCGGCGUGCCUAAUACAUGCAAGUCGAGCGAACGGACGAGAAGCUUGCUUUUCUGAUGUUAGAGGCGGACGGGUGAGUAACACGUGGAUAACCUACCUAUAAGACUGGGAUAACUUCGGGAAACCGGAGCUAAUACCGGAUAAUAUUUUGAACCGCAUGGUUCAAAAGUGAAAGACGGUCUUGCUGUCACUUAUAGAUGGAUCCGCGCUGCAUUAGCUAGUUGGUAAGGUAACGGCUUACUAAGGCAACGAUGCAUAGCCGACCUGAGAGGGUGAUCGGCCACACUGGAACUGAGACACGGUCCAGACUCCUACGGGAGGCAGCAGUAGGGAAUCUUCCGCAAUGGGCGAAAGCCUGACGGAGCAACGCCGCGUGAGUGAUGAAGGUCUUCGGAUCGUAAAACUCUGUUAUUAGGGAAGAACAUAUGUGUAAGUAACUGUGCACAUCUUGACGGUACCUAAUCAGAAAGCCACGGCUAACUACGUG